ACCAUCUGUGCUAUAUGGAGGUUUGUAUCCUCAAGACAGCCAUAAUUCACAUUAAUGUCAUGACACAAGCUACAACCAACAAUACCAGAAAGGUUAUGACAGCAUCGAGGUCACCUGAUAAAUAUUUUCUUAUAAGUAACAAACAAGAAAAAAGCAUUCAAAAUUAUUCUACUGGACACAAAAUGUUGUCAACUGCAGCAUGUAUUUUAAGUGUUCCUGAAGAACUGGACGGUUGAUGAGAUCUGGAAGUCAAAGUCAAAACAUAAAUGAAAUGUAUUUUCUGGUGUCAUUCUGGUCCAUUUGUUCACAGUACAAAAUCACCAUGUAAUUUUCUCUGACUAAUUGUGAUUGGCACCUGUAUUCAAAUAGUCUGGAGCUGUACUAGAAGCUGUGUAAAAUGAGAAAGAUACAACAUCCAUGUAGAAAGGAAACCAGUAAGCCCAGGUUUAUACAAAUAAACUGAAGGAUGUGGGCAGAUAGGAACUACCUUUUUGAAGGCUGAUAUUGCAGACCAGAAAUGCAUUAGUUUCUCACAACAUUGACUCAGUUUCCAGAAUGAAUCCUGUCCACAGGAAGAAUUGUACAAGGCACAUAUCCAUUUGUAGUUUAGGAAAAAAAUUUCACUGCCUGAGCCUUCUUCCCACAAAAAGGCUGAAGAAACGUACAACUAGGCAGAUGAGAUAAGCCAUUAAUUACCAGGGACAACACAAAUCCCAUGUUUUCCCAGUGGGGUACACUUGUAAGUGGUUAUCUUUCGAUUCCUGAUUCUUUCCUGUCUACCACUUCAUCCAGAAAUAACAGAGAGAAUUACAUAGACCUUAGUCAGUGCAGAACUCUCAGCCUAGCAUCGGAAAGGCUCCUUUGUUGACAUUUCUAUUCGUUCCCAAUUUGCUAAUCUAUCUGAAGCUUUAUUUAAGCUCCUUUCUACUUUGCAAAAUUACAGGCCCAUUUCUCAUUCUAAAAAGACUCACUUGCUCUCAGUGUUGGGUAAAUAUCCAAAGUAAACCAAAAUUUUGAACUUCUUGAAGUUCACAGGCUACCCAUGCAAGUGCUUGUCGUUCCUGUCCACAAACUUUUGCAGUCUCUAGUCAACAAAAUGCAGCUAAGCAGUAAGUUUGACAGUAAAUAUUUUCAUCAGACAACAGUUAAAUCAGUUAAAUCUGAAACAAUGCAUCAAUAAGAUGCAUCAUUGUUAUUUUCCCAUGUGAAGACAAUUGGAAUGAUAAGAGAGAGAUUUUGUGCUAAAUAAGAGGUAACAUACUCAUGCCCACUUAAAUCUUUGAAUUCAAAUCAAGGUCCAGGAGUCAAAACAGAAAGCAACCAAAAUGCUAGUUUUUUAGACUGUAGGCCUCUACUUCAAAAAAUCAGUUAAUGUGUUUAAAUCCAUUCUAGUUUAGGAAAUAUACUUGAUUGUGUGCUUAACUAUAAUCAAUGCUUAUGUUUAUUAUGUGAUAUUUACUUUAAAUUAUUAUAAGCAUGUGGCUAAAUUAAUUACCAGAAGAAACAGUUUCCCAA
Long non-coding RNA from Chroicocephalus ridibundus (black-headed gull), 1515 nucleotides. RefSeq lists it as uncharacterized. NCBI's taxonomy places the organism in Eukaryota, Metazoa, Chordata, Aves, Charadriiformes, Laridae. The transcript is spliced from 4 exons. The record is from RefSeq and is a predicted model, not a curated record.